RNAcentral lists this long non-coding RNA (638 nucleotides) under Cucumis sativus (cucumber). Its description in RNAcentral is "long non-coding RNA (CSAT_LNC001767)". The record is from RNAcentral. Lineage: Eukaryota; Viridiplantae; Streptophyta; Magnoliopsida; Cucurbitales; Cucurbitaceae.
GCAUGGUUGGAAGAGUCUCAAAAAGCCACAAAAUGCAGUGCAAAACAGUUGAUACACCUAGCAAAGACCUUCAACAGCCAUCUCCUAAAGUUUUGGUGAAUGCAUCAUCAAAGAAGCUAGAUUCAACAGCUUCAACAAGAGUAGCUUGCUGCAGAAAUCAAAGAUUUUGUACUUGUAAAAGUUGUAUGGAGUACAGCCGACAUAAUGAGAUCAGCCUAAAAUUGGUUCAGAAGAAUGAAGCCUCUGAGCCAUUUUCAAGUAAAAAAUUUGUUGGUGUGGCUGAUAAACAGUGUAAACAAUUGUUAGAUGCAUUGGGAAUUUUCAAUUCGAAUAAGGAAUUGUUUGUAAAUCUACUACAAGACCCAAAUUCUCUGUUAAUUAAACGUAUUGAAGGCUCUACUGAUUCGAGGAACAGAAAACAGCAGAUGAUGACUUUCUUUGAUAGCAGGUUGUCUGAAAACAAGAUAAGAGAAGUGGGGGAAUAUGAGGAGCCUAAGUACUGUCAAAACUUGAAGCCCUGUGAUAGAUUACCUGCUGAGGAUAGUGAUGACUCUCUAUCUUUGGAAAGAAUAGUUGUAUUAAAGCCAAAUUCAACUAGCUCACUACAGGCGGCUGUGGGAACCAAUUAUUGCUCCUCU